AUGAGUUAUGGGAAGAAUUGCCUUUCCGGGGGAGUUUGAGGCUCAGGUUAGCUCGGGUGCUUUUCAACUGUCAUGGUGAAAUGGACUCAGUGUUCCCUAGUAGGCUGCUUUUUCUUCAUGUUUUCUACCAUCUCUGUGCAAUAGUUUUAGAGACUCUAUGAGCUAGUUACAUUGGUGGUGCCUUCUCAGUACAGUAAAACCCUGGUGGUACUAUUUCACUGGGAAGUAGUUUGGCAGUGACUUAAGUUCAGAAGCUGGCAGUGAGUUCUGGCAGCUUUGCAAAGCUUUGACUGUUCUUGGGAUGAUCUGACUAGAUGUUCUUCUCAUUAUGCCUCUAGAAUGCAUGUUGGAAAGAAUUUCCAUCUGCUGAGGAACAGUAAUGUAAAAUUGAAUUCUUAGAAUAUUUCUUCUAUUUUUUGCAGAGGAUAGACUAAAUGAGCUACCAAAACAGAAGAGUUCUUGUGAUUUUGGUAUCGGAUCUGAAAGGAAACAUUGCCUUCAGGAAACUGUUUCUGGCAGCUAGCCGAACAGGCAGUACGUGUGGAGAGCACACAGCUGAAGUCUGACACCGUAUUGCUUACAGACACAAAAUUGUUACUGAAUAUGCUGGAAUUCUGGAGACAGUCUUAUCUUCCUGGAGUAACAGUACUGGAUUUUUAUGAAUAUGGAAAUGAUUUCAGAAAAAUAUUACUGUUUAGAAUUCUUUUGUUUGAGACCUAUGUAAAAACAGUUAGAAGGCAAUGUCUAUUUUUGCAUAUGUCAAAUUAAUCAUUGACUAAAGGAAUGAGCAGUUCUGGCAAUGGAGAGUGAUAUAUUAGGUUGCCUAAGUGGUACUCUGGUAUUUUGUAAAGAAAAUAUAUUUUUAAUGGCUGAUAACUUAAGAGCAUAGUACUUGAAUAUAUGUAAAAAUAUCCUCCUGAUCCUUGUCUGAAAUACUAGAUUGUUACUAUAAUAAGAAAAUGUUUUCAAAUGUACUAUAUAAUAAGGUGAAUGUUUCAGCAGACAGAAAACUAUUUAACUAUUUCUUCAUUUUUCCCUUUAUGCUGUACAGAGACAGGGUUUUAUAUACCUGCACGGUCUCUUUUGUGAAACUGUCCAUGAAGUUUAUAGAAUAGUUUAAUUCUUCUGUGUAAAUAUUUUUGAAACAACUUGGAGUAAGUGUUGUACCUGAUAUUUAGUGUAUUGUUUUUACUAUGGGGAUGCAAAGGCAAGUUUAAACAGCCUCUGAACUGUAUUAUACCUGUCCACACCCAGGGGAGGCUUAGUGCUCUGGAUCCUGAAUGGAUGAAGAUGACACAAGUGCCAGUGCAAUUCAGUAAGUGAUCUGCAAUUUUAUUUUUCAUAAUUCUUAUUUAACGUUUGUUACUUGCUGACUAUGGAUAAUGUUUCAAAUGGGAACACAAUCAUCAUUUUAGUUUUGGGGAUUAAAAUGGUUGGUAUGUGGUUUAUUUUGCUAAAACACCAAUUCUCACGGACAUACUUCAAAGUCUUAGGUGGUUUUGAAUAUCCCAUAUGUUAUGAACUAUAUUCAAAUAGCUAGAUCUUCUGUUCUGGUAAAUUCCUGCACAGUGUAAAAACUGAAUAUAAAGCAGCUGACUGGUAUCUCCUUAGCCAUGUACCUUGAAGCAUCAACAUGUUUUUUUUCUAAUAUAUUAGAUUAAAGGUAAAUCUGCUACUUUCAGGAGAAAAAAUCAGGAGGUAACAGAGCAUAGACUUGCAUACUAACCUGGAAUCCAACUGGAAAGGUCUGUGUUUUUAUACUUUGCCAUUUUGAAAUUAAGAAUUGCUGUAGAUGGUUUGUUUUCCAGUCUUCCAAUAAUAUCCAAUCAGUUACCACCCUUAGGCUUUCUGAUACACCUAUUGCAUCAGCAUUCUUAUUUAAGAAAGCAGAAAUGCUUAGACUAUUACUGCUUUUGUAGAACAGAUAUAUUUGAUCUGUUUUACUGUUUUUCUGUGCCUUUUUAUUUUUAUGGGGCUCUGAAGUAGGCUUUGAUCUUGAUUCCAUACUCUUCCACAAGUGUAUUACUGAUUAUUCUUAGAGCCUGUGCUUUGGUUAGGAAAUAUUUUUAGAGUAAAAUAUUUGACACUUUAGAUAUGCAUUUAUUUUUCACCUGUCUUCAUCCUGUACUAACAAAAACUAAAUAUGAUGAGAAUAAAGAAAUAUUUUGUUCA
Long non-coding RNA from Anas platyrhynchos (mallard), 2172 nucleotides. RefSeq lists it as uncharacterized. The record is from RefSeq and is a predicted model, not a curated record. Lineage: Eukaryota; Metazoa; Chordata; Aves; Anseriformes; Anatidae.